CAUCGCCACGGUAAUACGGAGGGUGCAAGCGUUAAUCGGAAUUACUGGGCGUAAAGCGCACGCAGGCGGUCUGACAAGUCAGAUGUGAAAUCCCCGGGCUUAACCUGGGAACUGCAUUUGAAACUGUCAGGCUGGAGUCUUGUAGAGGGGGGUAGAAUUCCAGGUGUAGCGGUGAAAUGCGUAGAGAUCUGGAGGAAUACCGGUGGCGAAGGCGGCCCCCUGGACAAAGACUGACGCUCAGGUGCGAAAGCGUGGGGAGCAAACAGGAUUAGAUACCCCUGUAGUCCCUGUCUCUUAUACC
Molecule: ribosomal RNA, 301 nt
Filed under: uncultured bacterium
Lineage: Bacteria
Description: partial 16S ribosomal RNA
Rfam family: Bacterial small subunit ribosomal RNA
Source: RNAcentral